CAGGACGAACGCUGGCGGCGUGCCUAAUACAUGCAAGUCGAACGGUCUUUCUAUGGAAGCUUGCUUCCACUGAGAAGAUAGUGGCGAACGGGUGAGUAACACGUGGGUAACCUGCCCAUAAGAGGGGGGAUAACAUCCGGAAACGGGUGCUAAUACCGCAUAGUUUUCUUGGUCGCAUGAUCGGGAAAGGAAGGACGGCCUUUGUGCUGUCGCUUAUGGAUGGACCCGCGGCGUAUUAGUUAGUUGGUGAGGUAACGGCUCACCAAGACGAUGAUACGUAGCCGACCUGAGAGGGUGAUCGGCCACAUUGGGACUGAGACACGGCCCAAACUCCUACGGGAGGCAGCAGUAGGGAAUCUUCCGCAAUGGACGAAAGUCUGACGGAGCAACGCCGCGUGAGUGAAAGAAGGUUUUCGGAUCGUAAAACUCUGUUGUCAGAGAAGAACAAGUUGGAGAGUAACUGCUCCAGCCUUGACGGUAUCUGACCAGAAAGCCACGGCUAACUACGUGCCAGCCGCCGC
This 521-nucleotide ribosomal RNA is filed under the name uncultured bacterium. Its description in RNAcentral is "bacterial SSU rRNA". It matches the Rfam family "Bacterial small subunit ribosomal RNA", at positions 25 to 518 of the family's 1533-position model. The record is from RNAcentral.